This 1738-nucleotide ribosomal RNA is filed under the name Salmonella enterica subsp. enterica serovar Oslo. Its description in RNAcentral is "partial 23S ribosomal RNA". It matches the Rfam family "Bacterial large subunit ribosomal RNA", at positions 419 to 2141 of the family's 2925-position model. Lineage: Bacteria; Pseudomonadati; Pseudomonadota; Gammaproteobacteria; Enterobacterales; Enterobacteriaceae. The record is from RNAcentral.
GGGACACGUGGUAUCCUGUCUGAAUAUGGGGGGACCAUCCUCCAAGGCUAAAUACUCCUGACUGACCGAUAGUGAACCAGUACCGUGAGGGAAAGGCGAAAAGAACCCCGGCGAGGGGAGUGAAAAAGAACCUGAAACCGUGUACGUACAAGCAGUGGGAGCACCCUUUUGGGUGUGACUGCGUACCUUUUGUAUAAUGGGUCAGCGACUUAUAUUCUGUAGCAAGGUUAACCGAAUAGGGGAGCCGGAGGGAAACCGAGUCUUAAUUGGGCGUUAAGUUGCAGGGUAUAGACCCGAAACCCGGUGAUCUAGCCAUGGGCAGGUUGAAGGUUGGGUAACACUAACUGGAGGACCGAACCGACUAAUGUUGAAAAAUUAGCGGAUGACCUGUGGCUGGGGGUGAAAGGCCAAUCAAACCGGGAGAUAGCUGGUUCUCCCCGAAAGCUAUUUAGGUAGCGCCUCGUGAAUUCAUCUCCGGGGGUAGAGCACUGUUUCGGCUAGGGGGCCAUCCCGGCUUACCAACCCGAUGCAAACUGCGAAUACCGGAGAAUGUUAUCACGGGAGACACACGGCGGGUGCUAACGUCCGUCGUGAAGAGGGAAACAACCCAGACCGCCAGCUAAGGUCCCAAAGUCAUGGUUAAGUGGGAAACGAUGUGGGAAGGCCCAGACAGCCAGGAUGUUGGCUUAGAAGCAGCCAUCAUUUAAAGAAAGCGUAAUAGCUCACUGGUCGAGUCGGCCUGCGCGGAAGAUGUAACGGGGCUAAACCAUGCACCGAAGCUGCGGCAGCGACACUGUGUGUUGUUGGGUAGGGGAGCGUUCUGUAAGCCUGUGAAGGUGGCCUGUGAGGGUUGCUGGAGGUAUCAGAAGUGCGAAUGCUGACAUAAGUAACGAUAAAGCGGGUGAAAAGCCCGCUCGCCGGAAGACCAAGGGUUCCUGUCCAACGUUAAUCGGGGCAGGGUGAGUCGACCCCUAAGGCGAGGCCGAAAGGCGUAGUCGAUGGGAAACGGGUUAAUAUUCCCGUACUUGGUGUUACUGCGAAGGGGGGACGGAGAAGGCUAUGUUGGCCGGGCGACGGUUGUCCCGGUUUAAGCGUGUAGGUGUGUGUUCCAGGUAAAUCCGGUUCACUUUAACACUGAGGCGUGACGACGAGGCACUACGGUGCUGAAGCAACAAAUGCCCUGCUUCCAGGAAAAGCCUCUAAGCAUCAGGUAACAUCAAAUCGUACCCCAAACCGACACAGGUGGUCAGGUAGAGAAUACCAAGGCGCUUGAGAGAACUCGGGUGAAGGAACUAGGCAAAAUGGUGCCGUAACUUCGGGAGAAGGCACGCUGACACGUAGGUGAAGUGAUUUACUCAUGGAGCUGAAGUCAGUCGAAGAUACCAGCUGGCUGCAACUGUUUAUUAAAAACACAGCACUGUGCAAACACGAAAGUGGACGUAUACGGUGUGACGCCUGCCCGGUGCCGGAAGGUUAAUUGAUGGGGUCAGCGCAAGCGAAGCUCCUGAUCGAAGCCCCGGUAAACGGCGGCCGUAACUAUAACGGUCCUAAGGUAGCGAAAUUCCUUGUCGGGUAAGUUCCGACCUGCACGAAUGGCGUAAUGAUGGCCAGGCUGUCUCCACCCGAGACUCAGUGAAAUUGAACUCGCUGUGAAGAUGCAGUGUACCCGCGGCAAGACGGAAAGACCCCGUGAACCUUUACUAUAGCUUGACACUGAACAUUGAGCCUUGAUGUGUAG